ACAUAGUCCCAGCAUUCUGACCAUCCAUACCUCUAAAAAAUCUAUGGAUGCAGUAAGUAGCACUUGCCAUUAAAACUAACACUAUGGCUGUAAUAACUAAAUAUGCCCAAAAUGUAAGUGCAAGUUCGAUCUCUACACCAACCCAAUGCUAUCCACAAGAAAUGAAGAAAUCACAGGUCUCGAUAGAAAAUAUAAGAUGGC
This 201-nucleotide long non-coding RNA is filed under the name Elaeis guineensis (African oil palm). RNAcentral's name for it is "long non-coding RNA (EGUI_LNC002210)". The record is from RNAcentral. Lineage: Eukaryota; Viridiplantae; Streptophyta; Magnoliopsida; Arecales; Arecaceae.